Molecule: ribosomal RNA, 385 nt
Filed under: uncultured Polaribacter sp.
Lineage: Bacteria; Pseudomonadati; Bacteroidota; Flavobacteriia; Flavobacteriales; Flavobacteriaceae
Description: bacterial SSU rRNA
Rfam family: Bacterial small subunit ribosomal RNA
Source: RNAcentral
GGGUGCGUAACGCGUAUAGAACCUACCUUUACAGAGGAAUAGCCUUUAGAAAUGAAGAUUAAUGCCUCAUAGUAUUGUAGACUGGCAUCAGUUUAUAAUUAAAGAUUUAUCGGUAAAAGAUGGCUAUGCGUCCUAUUAGUUAGUUGGUAAGGUAACGGCUUACCAAGACAGCGAUAGGUAGGGGUCCUGAGAGGGAGAUCCCCCACACUGGUACUGAGACACGGACCAGACUCCUACGGGAGGCAGCAGUGAGGAAUAUUGGACAAUGGAGGAGACUCUGAUCCAGCCAUGCCGCGUGUAGGAAGAAUGCCCUAUGGGUUGUAAACUACUUUUAUACAGGAAGAAACACUGGUAUGUAUACCAGCUUGACGGUACUGUAAGAAUA